AACGAGAGCGACCGGUGCUUGCACUGGUCAAUCUAGUGGCGAACGGGUGAGUAACACGUGGGUAACCUGCCCAUCAGAGGGGGAUAACAUUCGGAAACGGAUGCUAAAACCGCAUAGGUCCUUUAACCGCAUGGUUGAAGGAGGAAAAGAGGCGCAAGCUUCUGCUGAUGGAUGGACCCGCGGUGCAUUAGCUAGUUGGUGAGGUAACGGCUCACCAAGGCCGUGAUGCAUAGCCGACCUGAGAGGGUGAUCGGCCACAUUGGGACUGAGACACGGCCCAAACUCCUACGGGAGGCAGCAGUAGGGAAUCUUCCGCAAUGGACGCAAGUCUGACGGAGCAACGCCGCGUGAGUGACGAAGGUUUUCGGAUCGUACAACUCUGUUGUUAGAGAAGAACAAGUGCUAGAGUAACUGUUAGCGCCUUGACGGUAUCUAACCAGAAAGCCACGGCUAACUACGUGCCAGCAGCCGCGGUAAUACGUAGGUGGCAAGCGUUGUCCGGAUUUAUUGGGCGUAAAGCGAGCGCAGGCGGUUCCUUAAGUCUGAUGUGAAAGCCCCCGGCUCAACCGGGGAGGGUCAUUGGAAACCGGGGAACUUGAGUGCAGAAGAGGAGAGUGGAAUUCCAUGUGUAGCGGUGAAAUGCGUAGAUACAUGGAGGAACACCAGUGGCGAAGGCGACUCUCUGGUCUGUAACUGACGCUGAGGCUCGAAAGCGUGGGUAGCAAACAGGAUUAGAUACCCUGGUAGUCCACGCCGUAAACGAUGAGUGCUAAGUGUUGGAGGGUUUCCGCC
RNAcentral lists this ribosomal RNA (792 nucleotides) under uncultured Granulicatella sp. RNAcentral describes it as "bacterial SSU rRNA". It matches the Rfam family "Bacterial small subunit ribosomal RNA", at positions 65 to 838 of the family's 1533-position model. The record is from RNAcentral. Lineage: Bacteria; Bacillati; Bacillota; Bacilli; Lactobacillales; Carnobacteriaceae.